UCCGGCCAGUCCACAGAGCACAGCUCAGCUGUGGUAAACAAGUUAGCAUGGUUUGAUAACAACCAUGGGCGAGAACUGUGGACACUGAGUGGGGGUGAGGAGGGAUUACUGACUGAAGAGAGAAGCUCAGACCCUGUGGAAAGGCUUGGGGUGAUGACCCACCUGUCAGGUACUUGUAACCCGUGGUGCUGGGAGGUGGAGACAGAAGGACCAUUGGAUCUUGCUGGCUUUCAGCUUAGUUCCAAGUCGCAGGAGACCUUGUCUCAAGGCAGUAAAAGAAUGACAGAGCAGGACAUCAGACGCCCCUCCUCGGCUUCUGCAUACAAGAGCAUAGGCAAGUAAAUAAAACGGUGUAUAUCAAAAAGUACAUGCCGGCCAGGGAAGACACGUGAAUGCAGACAAAGGGAGGAGCGGCUGCUUUUCUAGGUCCCGUUUUCCAGCAGAGAAUCAAGAGACAUACAAAGAAACAGGAGAACAAGGCCAUCCCUAGAACGAAGACGUGACGUUAUCCUUCAGUAACGACUACUUCCGAUAAGUUCUCGUAUGGGAUUAAGCUUAGCAGAGAUUCGAAUCAGACUGUUUUAAUUUUAGGGCCUUCAGAGACAACAAGACUAUAGAAAUGUUCACAAAACUUGUAUCAAUAGACAUGGGAAGGGAUUAAAAAUGUGUUACUCUAAAAUACAAUCACCGAACUGUUGCGGUAAAUAUUUAAAAACAUGGUAACCUUUUAUCCUGUGCUAGCACUCGUAGGGCCACGUGGCACUGCAGGGGAUCUUUAGCUCAGCAGCCCCAUGCUGUCUCCAAGUACUCUCUGACCCAGGUGGUCCAAGAGCCGUUCCAGCGUGGCACCUUGCCACUGGUCUACUGAGUUAGUUCCGGCACCCAUGGGGCUGCUUGGAAUUAACCAUAAUUCAUCUCAGAUUAUUAUCUCUCCCAGUGGCUCUCUGCUAGCCACCAACUCUCUGGUUCCAGCUACCUGGUAAAAUCAAGACUGCAAUGAACUGCAGCCCAACAAUCCGACUUAUAUGUUAAAUUCUCAAUCCACAAUACAUCCACACAAUAAACUCUCAACCAAUUGCUAAGGAUAUAAACCGCCCACCUAGAUAAGAUAAAUUUGCCUACAGAAAUCCAUCCCUUAAGAAAUAUACCUUGGGGGCUGGCUCUUCCAGAGGUCAUGAGUUCAAUUCCCAGCAACCACAUGGUGGCUCACAACCAUCUGUAAAGAGAUCUGGUGUAUCUGAAGACAGCUACAGUGUACUCAUAUAUAAUAAAUAAAAUAAAUAUUAAAAAAAAAAAAAAAAAAAA
Molecule: non-coding RNA, 1305 nt
Organism: Rattus norvegicus (Norway rat)
Lineage: Eukaryota; Metazoa; Chordata; Mammalia; Rodentia; Muridae
Source: RefSeq, a predicted model, not a curated record